AUGCAUCUCUGACCUGGAACAGUUAAUGUCUGCUACUAAGGUUUCCACUAGAGAUGCAAGAAAAAGAAGAUCCUUGUGCUUUCUGUCUGUCUGGUUGUGACAACCAGGAUUGAAUGGGGAAAUACAGAA
This 129-nucleotide small nucleolar RNA is filed under the name Dasypus novemcinctus (nine-banded armadillo). RNAcentral describes it as "Small nucleolar RNA SNORA31 (ENSDNOG00000037979.1)". It matches the Rfam family "Small nucleolar RNA SNORA31". Rfam says of the family: ACA31 (SNORA31) belongs to the H/ACA class of snoRNAs which are thought to guide the sites of modification of uridines to pseudouridines. ACA31 is predicted to guide the pseudouridylation of U3713 in 28S rRNA and U218 in 18S rRNA. Lineage: Eukaryota; Metazoa; Chordata; Mammalia; Cingulata; Dasypodidae. The record is from RNAcentral.